UGCGGGGUAGAGCAGCCCGGUAGCUCGCCAGGUUCAUACCCUGGAGGUCGGUGGAUCGAAGCCACCCCCCGCAACCA
RNAcentral lists this transfer RNA (77 nucleotides) under Kaistia algarum. RNAcentral's name for it is "tRNA-Met". It matches the Rfam family "tRNA". Rfam says of the family: Transfer RNA (tRNA) molecules are approximately 80 nucleotides in length. Lineage: Bacteria; Pseudomonadati; Pseudomonadota; Alphaproteobacteria; Hyphomicrobiales; Kaistiaceae. The record is from RNAcentral.